Molecule: small nuclear RNA, 164 nt
Filed under: Opisthocomus hoazin
Lineage: Eukaryota; Metazoa; Chordata; Aves; Opisthocomiformes; Opisthocomidae
Description: U1 spliceosomal RNA
Rfam family: U1 spliceosomal RNA
About the family: U1 is a small nuclear RNA (snRNA) component of the spliceosome (involved in pre-mRNA splicing). Its 5' end forms complementary base pairs with the 5' splice junction, thus defining the 5' donor site of an intron.
Source: Rfam by way of RNAcentral
UUACUCUCCUGGCAGGGGAGACACCAUUAUUAGACAGGUGGUUUUCCUAGGGUGACGCUCAGCCUGUGCACUCCGGGUUUGCUGACCCCUGCGAUUUCCCCAAAUGUGUGAAAUCCAACUGCAUAAUUUGUGAUAGCUAGGGGUGGAAUAAUGGCAAAUCUGAC